RNAcentral lists this ribosomal RNA (253 nucleotides) under uncultured bacterium. Its description in RNAcentral is "partial 16S ribosomal RNA". It matches the Rfam family "Bacterial small subunit ribosomal RNA", at positions 524 to 776 of the family's 1533-position model. The record is from RNAcentral.
UACGGAGGGUGCGAGCGUUAUCCGGAAUUACUGGGUUUAAAGGGUGCGUAGGCGGCUGUGUAAGUCAGGAGUGAAAGUUUGCGGCUCAACCGUAAAAUUGCUUUUGAUAAUGCACGGCUGGAAUCAGGAUGAGGUCAGCGGAAUGUGGCAUGUAGCGGUGAAAUGCAUAGAUAUGCCAUAGAACACCAAUUGCGAAGGCAGCUGGCUAGACCUGUAUUGACGCUGAGGCACGAAAGCGUGGGGAGCGAACAGG